Molecule: non-coding RNA, 1942 nt
Organism: Danio rerio (zebrafish)
Lineage: Eukaryota; Metazoa; Chordata; Actinopteri; Cypriniformes; Danionidae
Source: RefSeq, a predicted model, not a curated record
CCUGGCAAAUCGAAUCAAGAGUUCACCUUCAGUAACUUGUAUGUGUUAGAUGUCUCAUUUAUAAUGCAUCAUCUGUCUUCCGUCCGUUGUCUCAAAGAGAAUUUGAAAGUGAAAGUCAUGUACUGUGCGAUCUGAGGCAUUGGGUUACAACGGUUGUUCUUUUCUUUGCUCUCCAUUUAUUGAUGCUGCCUUGGUCUUUUGUACUGAAUGUCUGAAACGCAUCAUAGGCUGUCAAUCUGUGACUUUUCUUUUCAAAGAUGGAGGAAAUAUGGAUGAACUAAUAAAUGUCACAUCUGCCUUGAGUGGAAGACAUCCAGCAGAUUUGCCAUUAUGUUAAACCUUAAGUGAUACUAAAAGGCGUUUAGAGUCCCAAUUGGAGUCUUGUUUUCUGUUUGCAGUUUCAUUUCCCAUGCAAACAGCUUUGGAAAAACUGCCACAUGAGAGAUAAAUUGGACCACUCAGACUGGAUGAUCUUGCAUAUCAGGCUGCUCAAGCAAGAUUUCCAAUCUGCUGUUGAGGAACAACAUAAUAACAGCUAUUUUUUCAGUUUGCUUGUGAGCAAUUUUAUGCAAAAUUAUGCCAUAAAAAAUAUGAAGUUUACCAAAAUAGCGAACCCUUUCUAAGUUGUUUUGGUUCUCCUAUAUUUUACAGUACUAUAAAAAAUACUCAUGUCUUUCUCAGCAUUUUCAAACUAUUUUUGGGAUUUACAAAGUCACACAAGUGCUGACUUCACAUCCGUAAUGGACAGAUGUCAUUUCCAAAACAGCUUUUUUUUCUCAUAAAAUCAAAAAUGUCAAAUAAAACUAAUUUGUUCCAUGGAGAGCCAACUCUUAUCCUUUUGAUUAGUAUUCUUUCUUUAGGAUUGUGCAGUUUAGUUUAUAGAAUUUUUGCACUUUCAACAUUUUUUUUUCUUGUUUAAACUACUCAUUUAAAUGGAGUUGAAACGACACAAUUCUUAAGUUUUUUUUUUCAACUUAAUUGUUCAAUCCACAUAAAUUUGUAAAAACGAUUAAACUAACUUAACGGAUUUGUGUUGAGACAACAUGAAAGAAUUAUGUGGAACUUAGGCUUUUCUUACAGUGUAUGUUGUGUACUGUAAACUCGUGUACUUUUUUAAUCACUUCCAUGACAUGUUUAAUUUGCUUCAUUUAAAAUACAAAAAAUGCAUUUACAGAUUCAUAUUUUUCUAAUCUUUUAACUCUGUGGUUAGUUGUUUUGGAAAAUAUCAACAAUAUUCAAUAUGCUGUGGUCACAUGCGAUCUCUGUGAAUUUUACGUUUCCAGUUUUUGCUGCUAAUGUCUCUCCCAUAACACUGGAAUUGCUCUUUUCUGAUUUAGGCUUUCAAUUUGUUGAUCUAGACCAGAUGUGUGCUAGAGAGCUGCCAAACUUGGACAAAAAGGUCUUCUCUGAAGCUGUUCUCCAGAAUGUUCAUCUUGUUGUAGAUUUUGCUCUCCGAGCGCUUGAUCCUGUCAGCUGAUCGCACCUUCUCCAGCGCUGCCUCAAACCUCUCCAGGUGACCAGAGAGAAUAACCAUGUUCUCUUUCUGCUUGCCUUCCAUUUCCACCUAUGCCCCAUAUAUAUAGAAAUCAUAACAGUUUGAAUGUGGAUAUAGAUGAGAGAAAUUCAACAUAGACAAAUAAUCUUCUUUGUUUAAAAUUUGUAGGAAUUUAGUUUCUUCUUCUUAUUAUUUUUUCCAUAAAAGCACUUCAAGAAACAACUAUCACAGUGAUGAAAAUAAGAGAAAUAAGAUAAAUAAAAUAAAAUUGCAACACUACUCUUUCACACUUUAUAAUCAUCUCGAUCCACUCUUCUUCAGUCCCACUGAGUUGGUUUAUAACUUUGAUAUAAGGUUUUUCCAGAAAGUUUCAGUCAGGUUUAGUACAGGGCUAUUAGCUGGCCAUUUCCUUAUUUGAGUGUGUGCAAAAAAAAAAAAAAAAAAAAA